This is a long non-coding RNA of Chlorocebus sabaeus (green monkey), 1597 nucleotides long. RefSeq lists it as uncharacterized. The record is from RefSeq and is a predicted model, not a curated record. NCBI's taxonomy places the organism in Eukaryota, Metazoa, Chordata, Mammalia, Primates, Cercopithecidae.
GCAACCACCACUGGGAGGUUGGCAAUGACUCAGGCCUUGAGUCAGCAGCAUCAGAUGAGGACGCAGCCAGCCCUCUGCCAGCAUAAGGGAGCCCCAGAAAGCCCCGAGCUCUGCUAGCUGGGCUUGCGGGGACCCCUGGCUGGAAACGAAUCAGGUUCAUCAGCGCCCAGGAGCCCAGGAGCCACCUCCCAGGGAAAAUUCACGCGCACAUGCACACACGCACACACACACGCGUGCACACAGAGGAGGCCUGACAUCAGGGUGGGUGGGGCUGACUAACACCAACCCAGAGAAGAGAAACCAGAGAUGGUGGGGCGCAGUGGGCAGUGAGGUGGGGUCUCAGCUGGAGGGGCUCACUCAGACUGUGGAGCACCCAUGUGCCUCCUAAACAGAAACUCCACACAGGCCAAGGAAACAGCUACCAGCUGACUCACUCUCCCAGCAAACACCAGCUCCUCCCCGAGCCAGGCCCUGGAAGAGAAGUCGACAUCACGAGCUACCAUCUGGGGGGUGGCACCAGGCUGCGAAGGAUCCACAGACUGGCACAUGCAGGAGGAAAUGGGACAGGGGAGGGGUAAGGCCCCCAACAAGCAGGAGCAGGGAAGGGUCCUCCCAGCGCCCCACUGUAACGGGGCCUCGUCAAUGUCCUGUGCUCACUGAAUAAAGCACUGCCAAUGAAAGGUGAAAGAGGAACAAGAACAUUCUCCUGGACGCCACCCACAGAAAACCGUGUGCAGGCUUGGCCCUCACCUUGGGGACCUUGGACACAGAACUGGUUGUGUCACAUCUGGAGGCCUGAUGCAGAAGGCACUCGGCUAAGCCCUAGUUACUGGCACUUGGGCACCUGCGCCCCCUCUCAGCAAACUCCAUGUCUCAUGAAAUUAGGACUGGAUUUCCACUUUAUUUUGAAAAUACGGCCAAGAUCCGUCCACGUGUGGCUGACUCAGAGCUGUGACAUUAAGGGAAAAUAAAGGAAAUGGUUGAGCUGCCUUUUCAGACAACAUUGGAAUUUUUGAAGAACUCGAGAAUCAGUAUACUGAAAGGUUUGCGCCGUGAAGUCGCUGCUUGUGAAGCCUGUGUGCAUCCAAAGUGCUGACAAGGACAAUGGAAGACACUUCAUUCAUAAGCUCCUUUAAAAGGCCAGAGAGCCCCCUCGAAAGGGACUGGUAGAUGAAUAAGACUGGUAAAAUAAACCCAAACAUUUGGGGGGGAAAAGGUGAUUUUAUUGUUUUUUAUUUUACUUUAUUUUAUUUUUUGAGACAGGGUAUCGCUCUGUCACCCAGGCUGGAGUGCAGUGGCAUGAUCUUGGCUCACUGCAGCUCCGGCUUCCCAGGUUCAAGCGAUCUUCGUGCCUCAGCCUCCCAAGUAGCUAGGACUACAGACACACGCCAUGAAGCCUGGCUAAUUUUCAUAUUUUUUUAUAGAGACAGGGUUUCCCCAUGUUGGCCAGGCUGGUCUUGAACCCCUGGGCUCAAGCGGUCCACCCUCCUCGGCCUCCCAAAGUGCUGGGAUUACAGGAGUGAGCCACUGUGCCUGGCAAAAAUGAGAUUUUAAAUGUGCUACUUUAAUAAACUGAGUAUUAAUGUUGAAAACCCAA